AGUCGAGCGAGACCUUCGGGUCUAGCGGCGGACGGGUUAGUAACGCGUGGGAACGUACCCUUUUCUACGGAAUAGCCUUUGGAAACGAAGAGUAAUACCGUAUACGCCCUUCGGGGGAAAGAUUUAUCGGAGAAGGAUCGGCCCGCGUUAGAUUAGAUAGUUGGUGGGGUAAUGGCCUACCAAGUCUACGAUCUAUAGCUGGUUUUAGAGGAUGAUCAGCAACACUGGGACUGAGACACGGCCCAGACUCCUACGGGAGGCAGCAGUGGGGAAUCUUAGACAAUGGGCGCAAGCCUGAUCUAGCCAUGCCGCGUGAGUGAAGAAGGCCUUAGGGUCGUAAAGCUCUUUCGCCAGGGAUGAUAAUGACAGUAUCUGGUAAAGAAACCCCGGCUAACUCCGUGCCAGCAGCCGCGGUAAUACGGAGGGGGUUAGCGUUGUUCGGAAUUACUGGGCGUAAAGCGCACGUAGGCGGAUUAGUAAGUUAGAGGUGAAAUCCCAGGGCUCAACCCUGGAACUGCCUUUAAUACUGCUAGUCUUGAGUU
Molecule: ribosomal RNA, 542 nt
Filed under: uncultured bacterium
Lineage: Bacteria
Description: bacterial SSU rRNA
Rfam family: Bacterial small subunit ribosomal RNA
Source: RNAcentral